AGAGCGAACGCUGGCGGCAGGCUUAACACAUGCAAGUCGAGCGGGCGUAGCAAUACGUCAGCGGCAGACGGGUGAGUAACGCGUGGGAACGUACCUUUUGGUUCGGAACAACCCAGGGAAACUUGGGCUAAUACCGGAUAAGCCCUUACGGGGAAAGAUUUAUCGCCGAAAGAUCGGCCCGCGUCUGAUUAGCUAGUUGGUGAGGUAAUGGCUCACCAAGGCGACGAUCAGUAGCUGGUCUGAGAGGAUGAUCAGCCACAUUGGGACUGAGACACGGCCCAAACUCCUACGGGAGGCAGCAGUGGGGAAUAUUGGACAAUGGGCGAAAGCCUGAUCCAGCCAUGCCGCGUGAGUGAUGAAGGCCUUAGGGUUGUAAAGCUCUUUUACCCGGGAAGAUAAUGACGGUACCGGGAGAAUAACGCCCCGGCUAACUUCGUGCCAGCAGCCGC
RNAcentral lists this ribosomal RNA (449 nucleotides) under uncultured bacterium. Its description in RNAcentral is "SSU rRNA". It matches the Rfam family "Bacterial small subunit ribosomal RNA", at positions 26 to 518 of the family's 1533-position model. The record is from RNAcentral.